This 254-nucleotide ribosomal RNA is filed under the name uncultured bacterium. Its description in RNAcentral is "partial 16S ribosomal RNA". It matches the Rfam family "Bacterial small subunit ribosomal RNA", at positions 524 to 776 of the family's 1533-position model. The record is from RNAcentral.
UACGGAGGGGGCUAGCGUUGUUCGGAAUUACUGGGCGUAAAGGGCGCGCAGGCGGCUGCUCAAGUCAGGCGUGAAAGGCCUGGGCUCAACCCGGGAAUUGCGCUUGAGACUGGGCUGGCUUGAGUGCGGGAGAGGAUGGUGGAAUUCCCAGUGUAGAGGUGAAAUUCGUAGAUAUCGGAAGGAACAUCAGUGGCGAAGGCGACCUCCUGGACCAAUACUGACACUCAAGUGCGAAAGCGUGGGGAGCAAACAGG